Molecule: long non-coding RNA, 172 nt
Organism: Papaver somniferum (opium poppy)
Lineage: Eukaryota; Viridiplantae; Streptophyta; Magnoliopsida; Ranunculales; Papaveraceae
Exons: 3
Source: RefSeq, a predicted model, not a curated record
UGCCAGAAUCUUCUCCUACUUACAGGGUUUGUCAAGAUUGAAGAACUGAAGUUCAGUUCAUUGGAGCUUGAAGAAGAACUGGUCAGAGACUCAGAGUUGGUUUAAGAAGAACUAAGAAGGGUUUGUCAAGAUUGAAGAACUGAAGUUCAGUUCAUUAGAGUUUGAAGAAGAA